RNAcentral lists this ribosomal RNA (253 nucleotides) under uncultured bacterium. RNAcentral's name for it is "partial small subunit ribosomal RNA". It matches the Rfam family "Bacterial small subunit ribosomal RNA", at positions 26 to 291 of the family's 1533-position model. The record is from RNAcentral.
AGGACGAACGCUGGCGGCGUGCUUAACACAUGCAAGUCACGGGGGGUAGCAAUACCAACCGGCGAACGGGUGCGUAACACGUGAGCAACCUACCGAUUUGUGGGGAUAGCUGGUCUAACGGCCAGGUAAUACCGCAUACGCUCUCCGGGUCUCCUGACCUGGCGAGGAAACCUCCGGGGCAAAUCGAGGGGCUCGCGGCCUAUCAGCUAGUUGGCGAGGUCACGGCUCACCAAGGCGACGACGGGUAGCUGGU